CGACUGUGCCCACACUGGGCCAGAGGCGGGAAAUACGAGGUGAAGUGAAACUGACAGUUUAGAUCACUUCCUCUCAGGGCGUGUAACACAGCAUGGUGGGGAAUUCCUGCUAGUGGCGUGAACAGAGCUGAGAGAGUAGCAAGCCGGGGAACGCCUGUCCUCUGGGCUUAGGGAAGGUUUCACAGCCGGGUUGCGUUGGAGUGAGUCUGCAAAGGAUGAAUAAAUCAAGGCACAGAGAAGUUACAGGACUUGGCCAAGGAGAGAUACAGGUGGUGGAACAGAGAUUCAAACUCAGGCCCCCAGUACAUAGUUGUAUGUUCUUUGUUGUGGGUCCUUCUAGUUGUGGCAUGUGGGACGCUGCCUCAGCGUGGUUUGAUGAGCAGUGCCGUGUCCGCGCUCAGGAUUCAAACCAAUGAAACACUGGGCCGCCUGCAGCGGAGCACGCGAACUUAACCACUCGGUCACGGGACCAGCCCCUACAGCAACCCACACAUCCAUGAAACUCAGCAAACUGCAAGCAGGAGUCCUCAGAUAGCUGGUCCAGGUUUUGGAGCUGCAUUCAGUGAGACAGACAGGUUGGAUAGAGUGUGCUCAACCAUUGUUGGAGGAGGUCAUCGAGAGGGGGUGACCAUCCAUGGACACAUGACCUGGACUUGGGUAAUCAGAGGCUCCUUACACUCUUCCCUGUCCUUGGAUUGUACAUUUUGCCCACUAUUCCCAUGCUAGGAGCCACUUCAAGGGUGCAGCCUUGAAACAGUAAUCUGUUAUUGAGACCAUCUGAACAGUAUAUGUGACUGAACACCAUUAAGGCCUCUAUAUAAACCCUUAGGAUUCUGGUGGUUGGGUGUGGAGACUUCCUUGUUUUUGUAUCUGUGCAAGACAAGCCUCACGUGUAAAUGCUCUUGCUUAUUAAAACUGCUACCUACCAAUCUGGAGUGGUCUGCCUCUUUCUCUGCUCUCUCCUUGCCCUCUGUGUUUGGGGGCCAGUGUUGAAUUUUACCUUGGGAACUCCCAAGGUUUUUUGAACCAAUGUCCAUCUUACCCAGAAUCAAAAACCAUGACUUAAGUUUUGAGCAUGUUAAGCCUGAGCUACUUGUUGUACGUCUAGGUGGCAAUAUGUGUCUGGAAUCUAGAAGCAAGAUUUGGGCUAAAAAUAAACAUUUAAGUCUUCAAUGUAUAGGAGCUUCCAGUCACAGGCCUGGAGGAGAGCAAACAGGAAGAGCGCGUACAAUCAGCAAAAUGGACAGAGAAGAGAAGCCUGGGGACCAUCAACAUGGAAGAAGUGAGGACAGGAAGAGGGGCCAGAACAUAGGGGUCAGACAGGCUGAAGGAAAACCAGGAUGCUGGGGUCAAGUCUCCACCAGCUCUCUCCUGGACUGCGUGCGUACCGGUGCAUAUCAGAGUGUUUCCAGUGUUCCCAGUUCUUUGUGUAUCAGCCCCUGCGUCAGAAUCACCUGGGGGGAGCGGUGAUAAAUGCGUGCUUUCUCAGGCCAUACUCCAAACUGAUUCGAUUAGAAUCAUAAGUGGCAGGGCCUGCCUGCCUGCGUUUUUAACUAGCUUUCCAGGGAUUUCUUAUGAACAGUUAAGAGAACCACUGCCCUAGGCCUAAAGAGUGUGGAAACACCCCUGAGCCUGUCACUCGCAUAAAGAGAAGGUGGUGAACAAGUGGAAAGGAAAGAGAAAAGGAGGAGAAGGAAGAGCUAAAAAGGGAAAAAAAGAGAUUCCCAAAGUUUGGUGAGUGAUAUGGAAGGAGGAGAAGGAGGAAAGAGACCAUUUAUCUUCAUUAUUCCAGACCUGAGGCAGACACUCUUGGAGCAGCUGCAUUGAGUUCAUCUUGAGAGCUUUGUGUUUGAAGCCCAUUAAGAGCCCAACACAAGCCUACGAGGCCCCAGGAUGACUGACGGGACAGUAAGCCUUGGGUGGAGUGCAGCCAAGCAGUGUAAGGGAUAUGGUGAUGAACAUGAUGGGUGAUGAGCAAUUCGGCUGACACUGUCCUUCUUUAAACAGCAUCCACUGGUAAGGGAGUCCUGUAACUUUUACAUGACUCAACCAACCUAGGUUAACUGGUGCAUUUUAUGCCAAAUCCAGUAGUCAUGUUUUAUGCUGUGCUGCUCUAGCCAAACAACAUCUGUUUGGAUAAGGGGAUGAAUCUUGCUGAGAUGCAAACUCACACACACCCCUUUCUCCCCCAGCCUCCCUACUAAACAGUAAAUUUAAGAAAUCUCUUAAAAAUGUCCAAAAGCUAAUGUCAAUAGAAACCACACUAGAUGAAAGGAAAUUCGUCACCCAAAGUGCUUGGAGAAGAAGCACUUGACCUCUUUUCCAUCUCCUAAGGAUCAGCGCAAUGCCAAGUUUUCUUGGCCUUCACUUAUUUUCUUCCCAACCUUGAUUCUUCCCUGUGAGUGACUCAAACAGUGACUGGGUCUCUUUGUAUUCCAAGCUCCCAGCACAGGGCCUGGCACACACUAGGAGUUCAACGUUUGUUAAACUUAGUGCGCUUAACUUCGAGUCUAGCAUCAAUUUGAUGUGCAUUCUUGCUAAUGUCUUCUACAUUUCUUUUUCCUUCAUUCCAAAUUUCUCCUAUUCUUCUUUUUAUUCCUUUCUUCUCAUUCCCCUUUUUUGUCUGUUUUCCUCUCUCCUCCAGUGCCCAGUUAUUGCCAGAAGAGGAUAAAGUUGGGAACCAGAGUGUGAAGAAAGUGAAUUCCUCCAUCUCUCUUCUUUCAUUUUUGGUCCCCUCUCUGCAUCCUCUGGGAUUCUCCUCCUUCAUCCCAAGCCCUCUAUGUUGAAACACUAACAUGGAGAAUGCAGUGUCAUUCAAGUAAUAGAAAUAAAAGCUAUUUCUCAU
Molecule: long non-coding RNA, 2845 nt
Organism: Equus asinus (donkey)
Lineage: Eukaryota; Metazoa; Chordata; Mammalia; Perissodactyla; Equidae
Source: Ensembl